GAUGAACGCUGGCGGCGUGCCUAAUACAUGCAAGUCGAGCGAACAGACGAGGAUCUUGCUCCUCUGACGUUAGCGGCGGACGUGUGAGUAACACGUGGAUACCCUACCUAUCAGACUGGGAUAACUUCGGGAAACCGGCGCUAAUACCGUAUAAUAUAUUGAACCGCAUGGUUCAAUAGUGAAAGACGGUUUUGCUGUCACUUAUAGAUGGAUCCGCGCCGCAUUAGCUAGUUGGUAAGGUAACGGCUUACCAAGGCAACGAUGCGUAGCCGACCUGAGAGGGUGAUCGGCCACACUGGAACGGAGACACGGUCCAGACGACUACGGGAGGCAGCAGUAGGGAAACUGACGCAAUGGGCGAAAGCAUGACGGAGCAACGCCGCGUGAGUGAUGAAGGUGUUCGGAGCGGAAAAAUCUGUUAUUAGGGAAGAACAAAUGUGGAAGGAAAUAAGCACGGCGUGACGGUACCGAAUCAGAAAGCAACGGCUAACUACGUG
Molecule: ribosomal RNA, 497 nt
Filed under: uncultured bacterium
Lineage: Bacteria
Description: partial 16S ribosomal RNA
Rfam family: Bacterial small subunit ribosomal RNA
Source: RNAcentral